UGGGGAAUCUUGCACAAUGGGGGCAACCCUGAUGCAGCGACGCCGCGUGAGCGAUGAAGCCCUUCGGGGCGUAAAGCUCUUUCGACCGGAACGAUAAUGACGGUACCGGGAGAAGAAGUUGCGGCUAACUACGUGCCAGCAGCCGCGGUAAUACGUAGGCAGCAAGCGUUGUUCGGAGUUACUGGGCGUAAAGAGUGCGUAGGCGGUUUUCUAAGUUCGGUGUGAAAUCUCCCGGCUUAACUGGGAGGGUGCGCCGAAGACUGGGAAGCUGGAGUGUGGGAAAGGCAGGCGGAAUUCCUGGUGUAGCGGUGAAAUGCGUAGAUAUCAGGAGGAACACCGGCGGUGUAGACGGCUUGCUAGACCAUAACUGACGCUGAGGCACGAAAGCGUGGGUAGCAAACA
RNAcentral lists this ribosomal RNA (402 nucleotides) under uncultured bacterium. RNAcentral describes it as "bacterial SSU rRNA". It matches the Rfam family "Bacterial small subunit ribosomal RNA", at positions 355 to 774 of the family's 1533-position model. The record is from RNAcentral.